RNAcentral lists this ribosomal RNA (530 nucleotides) under Mycolicibacterium anyangense. RNAcentral's name for it is "bacterial SSU rRNA". It matches the Rfam family "Bacterial small subunit ribosomal RNA", at positions 31 to 574 of the family's 1533-position model. Lineage: Bacteria; Bacillati; Actinomycetota; Actinomycetes; Mycobacteriales; Mycobacteriaceae. The record is from RNAcentral.
GAACGCUGGCGGCGUGCUUAACACAUGCAAGUCGAACGGAAAGUGCCCUUUGGGGUGACUCGAGUGGCGAACGGGUGAGUAACACGUGGGUGAUCUGCCCUGCACUUUGGGAUAAGCCUGGGAAACUGGGUCUAAUACCGGAUAUACCCUGCUGGUCGCAUGGCCUGGUGGGGGAAAGCUUUUGCGGUGUGGGAUGGGCCCGCGGCCUAUCAGCUUGUUGGUGGGGUGAUGGCCUACCAAGGCGACGACGGGUAGCCGGCCUGAGAGGGUGUCCGGCCACACUGGGACUGAGAUACGGCCCAGACUCCUACGGGAGGCAGCAGUGGGGAAUAUUGCACAAUGGGCGCAAGCCUGAUGCAGCGACGCCGCGUGAGGGAUGACGGCCUUCGGGUUGUAAACCUCUUUCAGUAGGGACGAAGCGCAAGUGACGGUACCUAUAGAAGAAGGACCGGCCAACUACGUGCCAGCAGCCGCGGUAAUACGUAGGGUCCGAGCGUUGUCCGGAAUUACUGGGCGUAAAGAGCUCGUAG